GUCAAAAACCUUGGUCCGUGACAUUCAGCCCCAGCCCCAGGGCGUCUUCCCUUAGCAAAUUCAUAGAUAGUUUUUUUAUCAUAUACCAUCUUCAGCAAUAUAUUUCUAUCAUAAACUCCACUUCCCUUUGCAUUGAAAUUGAAAGCAGCCUUUUUUCUUCCAAACUUGUCUUUGGUACCCAUGUAUUAGGAUAUGCAUGUACUGAAGCAAAA
This 212-nucleotide unclassified non-coding RNA is filed under the name Hevea brasiliensis (rubber tree). Lineage: Eukaryota; Viridiplantae; Streptophyta; Magnoliopsida; Malpighiales; Euphorbiaceae. The record is from RNAcentral.